UGAACGCUGGCGGCGUGCUUAACACAUGCAAGUCGACCGGAAAGGCCCAAGCUUGCUUGGGUACUCGAGUGGCGAACGGGUGAGUAACACGUGGGUGAUCUGCCCUGCACUUCGGGAUAAGCCUGGGAAACUGGGUCUAAUACCGGAUAGGACGAUGGUUUGGAUGCCAUUGUGGAAAGUUUUUUCGGUGUGGGAUGAGCUCGCGGCCUAUCAGCUUGUUGGUGGGGUAAUGGCCUACCAAGGCGUCGGCGGGUAGCCGGCCUGAGAGGGUGUACGGCCACAGUGGGACUGGGAUACGGCCCAGACUCCUACGGGAGGCAGCAGUAGGGGAUAUUGCACAAUGGGCGCAAGCCUGAUGCAGCGACGCCGCGUGGGGGAUGACGGCCUUCGGGUUGUAAACUCCUUUCGCUAGGGACGAAGCGUUUUGUGACGGUACCUGGAGAAGAAGCACCGGCUAACUACGUG
Molecule: ribosomal RNA, 465 nt
Filed under: uncultured bacterium
Lineage: Bacteria
Description: partial 16S ribosomal RNA
Rfam family: Bacterial small subunit ribosomal RNA
Source: RNAcentral